Molecule: ribosomal RNA, 826 nt
Filed under: uncultured bacterium
Lineage: Bacteria
Description: bacterial SSU rRNA
Rfam family: Bacterial small subunit ribosomal RNA
Source: RNAcentral
GUUUGAUCCUGGCUCAGAGCGAACGCUGGCGGCGUGCUUAACACAUGCAAGUCGAACGCGCAGCAUUCUGUAGCAAUACAGGGUGUGGGCGCGUGGCGAACGGGUGCGUAACACGUGGAUAACCUUCCUUCAGGUGGGGAAUAACCCAGUGAAAAUUGGGCUAAUACCGCAUAACAAAACGAUGAGACAUCUUGUUGUUUUCAAAGGCGCAAGUCGCCAGAAGAGGGAUCCGCGGCCGAUUAGCUUGUUGGCGAGGUAAUGGCUCACCAAGGCAAUGAUCGGUAGCCGGACUGAGAGGUUGGCCGGCCACACUGGAACUGAGACACGGUCCAGACUCCUACGGGAGGCAGCAGUGGGGAAUCUUGCACAAUGGGCGAAAGCCUGAUGCAGCAACGCCGCGUGGGGGAUGAAGCUUCUCGGAGUGUAAACCCCUUUCGACCCGGAAGAAAGCCCGCAAGGGUUUGACGGUACGGGUAUAAGAAGCCCCGGCUAACUACGUGCCAGCAGCCGCGGUAAAACGUAGGGGGCCAGCGUUGCUCGGAAUUACUGGGCGUAAAGGGUCCGUAGGCGGUGUGGCAAGUCGGUAGUGAAAUCUCUGGGCUUAACCCAGAGGCUGCUGCCGAAACUGCCGUGCUAGAGUGUGAGAGAGGCGAGUGGAAUUACGGGUGUAGCGGUGAAAUGCGUAGAUAUCCGUAGGAACAUCCGAGGCGAAAGCGGCUCGCUGGAUCACAACUGACGCUGAGGGACGAAAGCUAGGGGAGCAAACAGGAUUAGAUACCCUGGUAGUCCUAGCCCUAAACCAUCAGGACUUGGGGUGUGCCCUGUA